GGAAGGAUCAUUACUGGUAGACCACAACGCACUUGAGGCCUAGCCUUAAGGGUCAUCCAGAUAGAGGACAACCUAACUGAUUCGAGGGUCUUAGUACCUUUGAUUCGAACUUGGAAGUCCAUCACCUAGAUCAUAGGCAGUACUGCUUUGGGAUGCAAGUCCUAUUUCGGUAUGGCUUAAGAGCUAGACAAGGGUAUAACCUAUUCACAACCCAUUACGAUGGAUGUCUAGGUUCCCACCUCGAUGAAGAGCGCAGCGAAUUGCGAUAUGUAAUGUGAUUUGCAGAUUGUGUGAUACAUCGAGUACUUGAACGCAUUGCGCCUUAGCUCGCGAGGGCUAAGGCAUGUUUGGAUGAGGGUCAGUAUCCUAUCACCCCCUUUAUUGGUAUGACCUUAGGGUCACACCUAACCAAAGGUGGUAACUUGUCUUUCCAUCAGGGGCGCCUAUUUGAUGGAUCGAUUAAAUGCACGGGAAGCCCAGAGUAAAGGUCUCCGGACUUGGACUCAUUAGUGCCCUUCUAACCUACCUCGGCGCCUCUACGUGAGAACUUAGAGUCAAUGGGUAGUGCUAGCAAGGUUCCCAAACUAAGUAGGUAGUACCUUUACCGGUAUAUACCUUGCCCAAGGCUAUAGCAGCUUGGGACCCUUCUAACUUUGACCUCAUCUCAAGCAUGACCACGCCCUAAACUUAAGCAUAUUAAUCAGGGCAGGAAAGGAAACCAAACGGGACUCCCUUAGUAACUGCGAGUGAAGAGGGACCAGCCCAGGCUGAAUCCAAAACCCCUGGGUUGCGGAGUUGUGGCCUUUGACUUGGGUCUGCAGCUAGGCUCGGUAGGUGAAGUUCUCUGAAAAGGGACGCCAUAGAGGGUUAAAGCCCCGUAACCUCACCAGGCUUGGUGAAUCUCCUAAGUUUAGAGUCAGGCUGUUUGAGAGUACAGCCUAAAGUGGGAGGUACGCUCCUCCUAAGGCUAAGUACAGGGUGGGAAUCCGAUAGCAUACAAGUACCGCGAGGGAAAGAUGCAAAGCACUCUGAAGAGAGAGUCAAAUAGUACCUGAAAUCGUAAUGGGGGAAGCGUCUAAGGGAGUCACUAUGCAGGUUGCCUUUCACCGGGCCUGUUUGGGUGCUGCGGGAUCUAGAGGUGCUUACGGGUAUCCAGGGUUCUGUAGAUGUCCUGGGCAGGCACGGGCAUUUAGGUAGCUUGCUCUCGGUUUGGGUUGCGGCUUGGGGAAAUAGGCUUGUGGUAAGGUACCUGGCUUCCAGGGAUGUCCAUGAGUUAGUACCUUCGCUUCGACCAGGGACUCAGGGGAGUAUAGCUAGGGCCGCAAGGCAGGGUCAAUAGGGUAUCAUUGGGUUGUCUGGUCUGGUUACAGCUUGCUGUCACUGGGUAAGAUGGCUCUCUUAGCUUUAUGACUACACCUAGCUUCAAGAAACCGGGUCACGACGAUCUUAGCCGUCCCGUCUUGAAACACGGACCAAGGAGUCUAACAUAUGCGCGAGUCUAAGGGUGGUAAACCUGCUAGGCGAAAUGAAAGUGAAUUGGGUGAUGCUGAGUCCACGGACGAUGCUGCAACCCGCACCGACCUUGACCCACGUGUGAUAGGUUUGAGUGGGAGCGUAUCUGUUAGGACCCGAAAGGUAGCGAACUAUGCCCGCAUAGAGUGAAGCCAGAAGAAAUUCUGGUGGAGGUUCGUAGCGGUACUGACGUGCAAAUCGUUCGUCAAAUGUGGGUAUAGCGGCGAAAGACUAAUCGAGCUGCCUAGUAGCUGGUUCCGCC
This 1774-nucleotide unclassified non-coding RNA is filed under the name uncultured fungus. RNAcentral describes it as "sequence contains 18S rRNA gene, ITS1, 5.8S rRNA gene, ITS2, 28S rRNA gene". The stretch from base 655 to 1774 matches the Rfam family "Eukaryotic large subunit ribosomal RNA", at positions 1 to 961 of the family's 3401-position model. Lineage: Eukaryota; Fungi. The record is from RNAcentral.